Long non-coding RNA from Amphiprion ocellaris (clown anemonefish), 473 nucleotides. The record is from Ensembl. NCBI's taxonomy places the organism in Eukaryota, Metazoa, Chordata, Actinopteri, Pomacentridae.
UCUGAUAUCACCUGAAUGCCACACAGGUGCCUGCUUUUCUGUAUCAGACACAUGAAUGAAGAGCAAUGGUGUGAAAUGAGAUGAAAGCAGCUGAAAUGAGAUGGAUGAAGAUCUGGAGAAGAAAAGAAAAUGUCAAGGAGAGGCCCGACGUCUCUCCUCUGGUGGUCUUUCGGAGCCCAACCACAAUAUAGGAGGAGGUGUGACUCCAUCAGCUAGAGGAGAUGUGACCAUAUAAGGACAGAGCAGGAGGAAGCGGGGAUUUCUCUGCAGAAUCAUGUGACUUCCAGUUACAGCGAUGCUCUCAGCGGAUACACACACACAUACACACAAACACACACACACACAGACGCACAGACACACAUGCACGCACAGUGUUCACUUCACAGACUGCAUGUAUUAUUUAUGAAGCUGUUUGUUUUCAGCUUCGUGCUUCAGAUUCCUGCACAUUAAAAUGCCUGACUGUCAUUUUGAAA